AGUUUGAUCCUGGCUCAGAUUGACGCUGGCGGCAUGCCUUACACAUGCAAGUCGAACGGUAACAGGGAGCUUGCUCCGCUGACGAGUGGCGAACGGGUGAGUAAUAUAUCGGAACGUACCUUUGAGUGGGGGAUAACUAGUCGAAAGAUUAGCUAAUACCGCAUACGAUCUACGGAUGAAAGUGGGGGAUCGCAAGACCUCAUGCUCAUAGAGCGGCCGAUAUCUGAUUAGCUAGUUGGUGAGGUAAAGGCUCACCAAGGCUUCGAUCAGUAGCUGGUCUGAGAGGACGACCAGCCACACUGGGACUGAGACACGGCCCAGACUCCUACGGGAGGCAGCAGUGGGGAAUUUUGGACAAUGGGGGCAACCCUGAUCCAGCAAUGCCGCGUGAGUGAAGAAGGCCUUCGGGUUGUAAAGCUCUUUUGUCAGGGAAGAAACGGGAUGUCCUAAUACGAGUCCUAAUGACGGUACCNGUAAGAAU
This 481-nucleotide ribosomal RNA is filed under the name bacterium PML38. RNAcentral describes it as "bacterial SSU rRNA". It matches the Rfam family "Bacterial small subunit ribosomal RNA", at positions 10 to 488 of the family's 1533-position model. The record is from RNAcentral.